UCACUUAUAAGAAAUACUGUUUGCUGCUCAUGGAUCUAAUUCUUUGCAGUGAUGAGCUAGAUUUUGGACAUCCACUGCAGCCAGGGGUAAUGCCUUACUCCCACGAAUGAACACUUACGAAGAAACCUGUUGAGAAAACUGGAAGGAAGAACUUCAGGGAUGUAACUACAAAAUAUACAUUUCAGAAAACAAAGGAGAUCUAGGGUCCAGAAAUCAAUGAAUAAAUUGCCAUCAUCCAGUGAAUAAAACAGUCAUCCAGUCAUCUGACAAGGAAGAUUUAUUUAAAUGAACCAGCUCUGAGUCCAGCAGGGCUACUCACAU
This is a long non-coding RNA of Lagopus leucura (white-tailed ptarmigan), 321 nucleotides long. RefSeq lists it as uncharacterized. The record is from RefSeq and is a predicted model, not a curated record. The transcript is spliced from 4 exons. NCBI's taxonomy places the organism in Eukaryota, Metazoa, Chordata, Aves, Galliformes, Phasianidae.